This 254-nucleotide ribosomal RNA is filed under the name uncultured bacterium. RNAcentral describes it as "partial 16S ribosomal RNA". It matches the Rfam family "Bacterial small subunit ribosomal RNA", at positions 524 to 776 of the family's 1533-position model. The record is from RNAcentral.
UACGUAGGAGGCGAGCGUUGUCCGGAGUUACUGGGCGUAAAGGGUGCGCAGGCGGCGGUUCGCGUGGCGAGAUGAAAUCUCCUGGCUUACCUGGGAGGAUGGUCGCCAGACGGGAUCGCUUGAGGGUCGGAGAGGGGCGUGGAAUUCCGGGUGGAGCGGUGAAAUGUGUAGAGAUCGGGAGGAACACCGGUGGCGAAGGCGGGUCUCUGGGCAUCUCCUGACGCUGAGGCGCGAAAGCGUGGGGAGCAAACAGG